AACGUAGGUGGCGAGCGUUAUCCGGAUUUACUGGGCGUAAAGGGUGUGCAGGCUGCCCGGCAAGUGGUGUAUGAAAGCACCCGGCUCAACCGGGUCAUGGUAUGCCAGACUGCGGGGCUAGAGAGCGAGAGCGGGACGUGGAAUUCCGGGUGUAGUGGUGAAAUGCGUAGAGAUCCGGAGGAACCCCAGAGGCGAAGGCGGCGUCCUGGCUCGCAUCUGACGCUCAGACACGACAGCAUGGGGAGCGAACGGG
Molecule: ribosomal RNA, 253 nt
Filed under: uncultured bacterium
Lineage: Bacteria
Description: partial 16S ribosomal RNA
Rfam family: Bacterial small subunit ribosomal RNA
Source: RNAcentral